Long non-coding RNA from Felis catus (domestic cat), 838 nucleotides. RefSeq lists it as uncharacterized. The record is from RefSeq and is a predicted model, not a curated record. The transcript is spliced from 3 exons. NCBI's taxonomy places the organism in Eukaryota, Metazoa, Chordata, Mammalia, Carnivora, Felidae.
AACAGUCUGACCUGCCUCGGUCCCCUGAAUCCAACCUGUAAGAAGAAAAAAGCCAUGAAAUAGGCUUGUGAGGCCAUUCUGAAAUGAAUUACCUGAGGGGGGUUAAAACCGAUCCAAACCUACAAAGGGAUUAUCCAUCCUGAAAAGCAGAUUGAAAAUUAAUUAAUUACUCACCCUGAAAUUAAGAUUGGACCCUUAAUUAAGUCACUGCCAGGCCAGAACUAGAAUUCAUCCCCCAGAGUCCUGGUUGACUGCUUGACCCAUGAUGUCACUACCUCCUCACCUGAGAGUUCUUCUAUCUGUUACAACAAUAAGUAUGAAAUCAUAAAAAGAAAGAAUUCAUCAGAAUGUCUGUGCUCUGUUUCACUGUAUUCCUGGCUUGAAGAUAAAGCUCUUUUUGUCUAUUACAAUGAGUAAAUGUAUUCAGUUCUACUCUGAUGGGCUCAAUUAUUCAACUCAAAACUUGAGGAAACUCUGCAAGCAAAACCGAAUUUACCUUGAAUUUUCUUACUGUAUUUUUUCUGGUUUCACCAUACUUUCUCACAUGUGGAAGAGGGGCAUGAGAAGAAGUACUGCGUUUCCUCGGUCCCUGUGGGGAGACAGGGCCAUGUGACGAGCUAUUGCCAAGAAGUUAUGAAUGAAACAGCAGUGUUGGAAAUGGCAGUGGCUCCAUCGAGCCCAAGUUCCCAGUGGCCCCCACCAACCCAGGACAGACGAGCAGUACAAGCAAGGAAUAAAUGUUUGGUAUCUAAGACACUGAGAUUUUUAAGACAUCGUCACCACAGAGUGACCUAGCCUAUCCUGAUUAAUAAAUCCAUGACGCGUUUUAAGUGAUUAA